Unclassified non-coding RNA from Callithrix jacchus (white-tufted-ear marmoset), 301 nucleotides. It matches the Rfam family "Metazoan signal recognition particle RNA". Rfam says of the family: The signal recognition particle (SRP) is a universally conserved ribonucleoprotein. It is involved in the co-translational targeting of proteins to membranes. NCBI's taxonomy places the organism in Eukaryota, Metazoa, Chordata, Mammalia, Primates, Cebidae. The record is from Ensembl.
GCCAGGCAUGGUGGCACAUGCCUGUAUUGCCAGCUGCUUGGGAGGCUGAGGCAGGAGGAUCACUUGAGCAUAGGAGUUCUGGGCUGUAGUGCGCCAUGCUGAUUGGGUAUCGCAUUAAGCUCAACAUCGAUAUAGUGACCUCUUGGGAGCGAGGGACCACCAUGUUGCCUAAGGAGGGAUGAACCAGCCUAAGUUGGAAAGGGAGCAGGUCAAAACUCCUGUGUUGAUCAGUAGUGGGAUUAUGCCUAUGGAUAGCCACUGCACUGUCUUGCCUGGGGAAUAUAGCAAGAUCUUGUCUGUA